Chlorocebus sabaeus (green monkey) is the source of this 544-nucleotide non-coding RNA. NCBI's taxonomy places the organism in Eukaryota, Metazoa, Chordata, Mammalia, Primates, Cercopithecidae. The record is from RefSeq and is a predicted model, not a curated record.
UGCAGCACACAAGGGCAAUGGAGCUCUGAAGAUGGUACAUUGCUGCUUGGUGACCAUCAAGACAGUAGAAACUAAGGAUAUUUAAACCUUUAGCAUAAGUUGUGAUACUUGGACUUUUUCUUCCCUACCUCAGUGAUCAAGCUACAUAAAAGAGCCCCAGGUUCCCUCGUGCCAACAUGGAAUAAUUGCUUUAAAAAGGUGAAAUGAGGAGCCACAGUAGAAUAUACUCACCCCAAAGUUGCCUCAGAGUUGCUGAAGUCACUCUUACUGCCUCAUGGUUGCUCAGACCUCCACUUCAAGAACAGACUCAGUCCACCUGCACCCAAGUGAUUAAAAAGUUUUAUUGCUCACACAAAGCCUGUUUGAUGGUCUCUUCACAUGGAUAUCCAUGACAUUUGGUGCCGAAACCCAGAACAGGAGGACUCCUUCAGGAGAUUGGUCCCCUGUCCUCAUCGUCACUCCAUGAGGAGAUCCACCUAUGACCUUAGGUCCUCAGACCAACCAGCCCAAGGAACAUCUCACCAAUUUUGUAUCGGGUAAGCGG